UACGUAGGGUGCGAGCGUUAAUCGGAAUUACUGGGCGUAAAGUGUGCGCAGGCGGCGUCGCAAGUCGAGUGUGAAAGCCCCGGGCUUAACUUGGGAAUUGCGCUCGAAACUAUGAUGCUGGAGUGUGGCAGAGGAAGGUGGAAUUCCAGGUGUAGCGGUGAAAUGCGUAGAGAUCUGGAGGAACACCGAUGGCGAAGGCAGCCUUCUGGGCCAACACUGACGCUCAUGCACGAAAGCGUGGGGAGCAAACAGG
This 253-nucleotide ribosomal RNA is filed under the name uncultured prokaryote. RNAcentral's name for it is "partial 16S ribosomal RNA". It matches the Rfam family "Bacterial small subunit ribosomal RNA", at positions 524 to 776 of the family's 1533-position model. The record is from RNAcentral.